Molecule: long non-coding RNA, 3048 nt
Filed under: Naja naja (Indian cobra)
Lineage: Eukaryota; Metazoa; Chordata; Lepidosauria; Squamata; Elapidae
Description: lncRNA (ENSNNAG00000000337.1)
Source: RNAcentral
CUGCGGUGGAAGAGCCCAGCCCGCAGUGAAUGGGAGAGCAGCAAGCAGGGGAAAGGAGAACCACCACCCCUUUGCAGGGAAUCCUGGCCCCCUCCCCACCUCACCCAGGAGAGGCUGAAGCUGACCCACGGAGCCAGAGGGAGAUGAUGCAAGAUUGCCUCCCCCCCCCCGCCACCUCUCUGAAGCUUCCUGGGGUGAGAUGGUGGAGUGCAGCAUCUCCUGCAGCAAAUUACAGGUUAACAGAGGUUGGAAAGGACCUUGCAGGUCAUCUAGUCCAGGGGUCAGCCAACCUUUUGGACCUCAGGGACCCCCAAACUCAUACUUUUAAAUCCCACGGACCAGAGACCCUGGGAAAAUCCCCAAAAAGACUGCAGGAAAAUCCUCCACCCCGUUUUCCUAUCGAUCGAUCGUACUUUAUUUGGGAUGGCAGGAUACCAUCGCCAGCUCCUUUCUCAGGGAGAGAGGAGAGAAAGAAAGACUUUGGAUGCUUUCCUUGCAUGCAGCCAGAAGCAGAAGAAGAAAGAAGCUGAAAGAAGCAGCCCGGUGGCCAGGCCAGGCGCGUGGGGUGCAUGGGGCAAGUUCCCCCCCUCUGCCCUUUCCCCCCUCCCCUCACUACCUCGUGUUGUUCGCAAUGCAAGCAACGCAAACCUUGUGUUCCCGCAGGCCAUGUGGCCGGAGCAGCCUUGUGUUCCUGCGCAGCCUGGAUUAAUUGCUUUGAGGGGACAUUUUCUCACGGACCACCAGUGGUCCCCGGCCCACCGGCUGCUGACCACUGCUCUAGUCCAAUCCUUCCCUGCCCAAGCGGGAGACCCUACACGGCUUCUGACCGAUGGCCGUCCAUUUGUCAGGCACGGCUCUUCCCCUAUGUUGGGGCAGGGGAUCCGUGGGGCCAGCCUCCCGUUGACUGACGCAGAACCAACAAAGGUUCCCCGUGGGGAGAACCCCAGCAAGACUGGGAGUGACUCACCCCACUGCCUCGUUUCGGGGUCUGUCCUUGGGGCCUGAUUGGAUGCCGGGAUUUGGGCGAGGGAGCCUUCUGGAGCCGUGACAGCUAGUCCUCGACUCAACGACCGCAGCGGAGCCCCACCCUUCCAUGGCUGAACAAGACCCAGAGCGCGUUUUGCCCCGUGGCGUGGCCUCGCUUGCCACCGUCGUUAAGUGAAUCGCUGCCAUUGAUAAGUAAGUCAUGAGGUCCUUAAGUGAAUCUUGGCUCUCCCUGUUGACUUUGCCGGUCAGAAGGUCUCAAGAGGGGGAUCGCAUGGAAAAAAAAAAAACCCCGGACGACACUGCGUCCGUCAUAAAUACAAGUCAGUGGCCGCAUUUGAAUUGGAGGCCACAGCGGCCGUAAGUGUGAAAACAAAGUCCCUUUUUUCAGUGCCGCUGUAACUCCUGAACGGUCACUCAGUGAAGCAUCGUAAGUCAAGGACUACCUGUAGUUUUGGGGUCCACUCUGGUGGCAUCCUCCCAGACUGAACGGAGCCCCCAAUACUCAGUCUGCUGACUCUCCCUGCCCCUCUCUAGUCAGGGGCAGGGGUCUGUCUCUAUUGAACCCCUCCCCCAAGUCCAACCAGGGGAGGGGGAGGGGCGGGAAUAGCCCACCUUGAAAGCCAGGUUUCCAUCCGGACCCUCCCCUGUUUUACUGCCUCUGAGUAAGAAGCCCCUGAGCCUCUCUAGUCAUUUUGAUGUUACUCUUCUGAAUAUUGCAGUGAGUAUCUUCUUACAAUGCCCAUUCUGCCUUCACCAACCCACAAAUUACACUGGCCUUCCCCAACCCCCACCCCACACUCGUUUUUCCAGUGGGCCUGGGGGACCCCGAGUGGGAUGGGGCCCAUCCCACGGCUCCUUUGAUGGUGGGUGGGUCGCGAGGAGGGGGCCUAUUGUUUUCUAUUUUCCUUUUUUUAAGAAUAAAUUUUUUAGUUGAUGGGGUUUUGUUUUAAUACUGUCUUCCUCUUAGAAAUUCAGACACAGCCCUCUGCCUCCUGCAUUGUUAAAAACAUUUUUUGCCUAUUAAGUGAGAUUACAGUAGCUCAGGGCUCCCCAGCCUUGGCUGCUUUAAGACUGGUGGACUUCAACUCCCAGAAUCCCCAGCCAGCAGAGCCUAGGGGCCUUGGAGGUCAAUUAGUCCAACCCCCAACCCCCUGCCAGGAGUGUCCAACUUUGGAACUUUAAGACUGGCCGGAGAAUUCUGGGAGUUGGAAGUCCACCAGUCUUAAAGCGGCCAAGUUUGGAGACCUCUGCAAGCAGAUACAAACAGACAAAGUCCCUCAGCAAACUUCCUGUUCUAUUAAAUAUUUGAAAGUGCAGAUUUUUUUCAGUCCAGGUCCAGCCAAGAUUUUUGCUCGUAUCUGGACUAAAUAUGUUGAUGUCUCCCUAUGGAGAUUUUCAAUCAUCCAGUUCAUGGAUGGUCCCAAAAGUGUUUUUCCAACUUCCUCAUUUUUUGUUUUUUCAAAUGUUUCACUUUGAAAACUUUUUAAAAUAAUUUUUCUAUCCUGUUUUUUAAUUCCUUGUAAGCCGCUGUGAGCGAGUAGACGGCGGUAUAAAUUUUCUAAAUGAAACAAAAACCAACCAACCAAUCAAUAAGGGGGUUGGACUAGAUGACCUACAAGGUCCCUUCCAACUCUGGUGAUCUGUUAUCUGUUAUAAAUUUGCAAUUACUGAGUCUGGAAUACAGGCCACAGUUCAGCCCAGAAUUGAUGUGGCCAACCGAGUACAUUGGCGAAGCCAGUUUGGCCCUGUUUUACGACUUUCUCGUUUCUUAAGGGAACCCCUGCAGUCGUUAAAUGAGUCACACGGUUGUGAAGCCAAUCCAGCUUCCCCGUUGCCUUCACUUGUCAGGAGGUCACAAAAGGAAGUCAUGUGACCCCCCCCCAGGGACAUGGCGACCGUCAUAAAUAUGAACCAGUUGCCAAGCAUCCAAAUUUUGAUAAUGUUGCAACGUCAGUCGUAAGUGUGUGAAAAAUGACUAUAAGUCACUUUCUUGAGUGGGUGUUUCUGUGUCUGUGUAUAGAGGAUGGAUGGAUGGAUGGAUGGAAUGGAUGGAUGGAUGGA